UCAGUAGCUCAGCAGGUAGAGCACAUCCCUUUUAAGGAUGGGGUCCUGGGUUCGAGCCCCAGCUGAGUCACAA
RNAcentral lists this transfer RNA (73 nucleotides) under Marinilabiliaceae bacterium. RNAcentral's name for it is "tRNA-Lys". It matches the Rfam family "tRNA". Rfam says of the family: Transfer RNA (tRNA) molecules are approximately 80 nucleotides in length. Their secondary structure includes four short double-helical elements and three loops (D, anti-codon, and T loops). The record is from RNAcentral. Lineage: Bacteria; Pseudomonadati; Bacteroidota; Bacteroidia; Marinilabiliales; Marinilabiliaceae.